Pecten maximus is the source of this 907-nucleotide long non-coding RNA. RefSeq lists it as uncharacterized. The transcript is spliced from 3 exons. NCBI's taxonomy places the organism in Eukaryota, Metazoa, Mollusca, Bivalvia, Pectinida, Pectinidae. The record is from RefSeq and is a predicted model, not a curated record.
AUAUUCUACGGUCAUACAGCACGGAGCGAAAUCACACGUUAUUUUAUACGUUCCGUGUCCUAAGGAGUGAUUCGAAAAUGGCGUCCUACUACAAGGCGUUUGGAGACGAUUUACCUCGUUUCGAAAUUUAAGCGACUGCAUCAACCUGUGAUUGACAAGAAAAAGAAUAACUUGGAAUGGCGUUUGGCUAAUAAUUCAGGACUACCUCUUAGGCAUCGUAAAUAGAGGUGGAACUGGAUUUCAAAAUGGCGUCUGGUUCCAGAGACGAAGGUCGGGAUUCAUCUGAUGAAGGCACACUUUCGGGUAAGUAAUCCUUCAUAGCUAUUUGUGAUUUAUUUCACGUCCGACCACCUAUUGAAAUCAUGAAUAUGACCUGUACAUAGUCAUAUAUUAAGAUAAUUCACGUUUAUGCUGUGAGAAAUCUUCAUUGUGUUCCUUGUAUAUGAAGACAAAUUUAUAAUAUCAAGCUGCAAAUGCUUCGCUUGCUGAGUGGAUUGAAUCUAUAGUGGUCAUUAUAAUUCUUAAUCCCGAUAUCAAAACCAUGUUUAACGUGGUUGUGCCUGAUGAUAAGAAACCUGAUAGUUUGAUCUUCAUCUGUAAACAAUGCUGCAAAUCCUGAACUAGACUUCCUGAUAACCAGGUAUGCUAGGAAAACAUUAUCCAAUUUGUCAAUAGAGGAAAAACUUACUGAUCAGAUUUCUUUUAACAAUCUUGAUCCUCCGCUCUGACACAUCAUUCUGAUAUCGACGGAAUUAGUGAAGCCUACAGAGAGAUAUCAAAUCCCCUAAAAUACACAUUUGUCGCUUUUUUUUACUGUAUAUUUUUAUGUCUGUUGAACAUGAAAAGAUUGCGUUUCUUUUUUCCUAUAAAAUACCAAGACCGAUGAAAUCUUCAAAACAUACACAAC